CCUGCGGCGGCCUAAUACAUGCAAGUCGAACGGUAAUCCAGGUGUUUCGGCAUUUGGAACGAGUGGCGCACGGGUGCGUAACACGUAUGCAACCUACCCUGAACAGGGACAUAACCUUGCGAAAGCGGGGCUAAUAUCCCAUAGUAUACCUGAAAGGCAUCUUUUUGGUAUUAAAGCCUUCGGGCGGUUCGGGAUGGGCAUGCGCCCCAUUAGCUAGUUGGUGAGGUAACGGCUCACCAAGGCAGUGAUGGGUAGGGGUUCUGAGAGGAUUAUCCCCCACACUGGUACUGAGACACGGACCAGACUCCUACGGGAGGCAGCAGUAAGGAAUAUUGGGCAAUGGGCGAAAGCCUGACCCAGCCAUGCCGCGUGCAGGAUGACGGCCCUAUGGGUUGUAAACUGCUUUUAUAUAGGAGUAAUAACCAAUACGUGUAUUGGGUUGCAAGUACUGUAUGAAUAAGUAUCGGCUAACUCCGUGCCAGCAGCCGCGGUAAUACGGAGGAUGCAAGCGUUAUCCGGAUUUAUUGGGUUUAAAGGGUGCGUAGGCGGGCAUUUAAGUCAGAGGUGAAAUCCCCGGGCUCAACCUAGGAACUGCAUUCGAAACUGCAUGUCUUGAGUGCUGGAGAGGGAAGCGGAAUUUCGGGUGUAGAGGUGAAAUUCGUAGAUAUCCGGANGAACACCAGUGGCGAAGGCGGUUUCCUGGACAGUUACUGACGCUGANGCGCGAAAGCGUGGGGAGCAAACAGGAUUAGAUACCCUGGUAGUCCAUGCCGUAAACGAUGCGCACUAGGUGUUGCGGCCUUUGACCGCUGCGGUGUUG
Molecule: ribosomal RNA, 820 nt
Filed under: uncultured bacterium
Lineage: Bacteria
Description: bacterial SSU rRNA
Rfam family: Bacterial small subunit ribosomal RNA
Source: RNAcentral